RNAcentral lists this transfer RNA (83 nucleotides) under Callorhinchus milii (elephant shark). Its description in RNAcentral is "tRNA-Leu (CAG) (tRNA-Leu-CAG-4-1)". It matches the Rfam family "tRNA". From Rfam's summary of the family: Transfer RNA (tRNA) molecules are approximately 80 nucleotides in length. Their secondary structure includes four short double-helical elements and three loops (D, anti-codon, and T loops). The record is from Rfam by way of RNAcentral. Lineage: Eukaryota; Metazoa; Chordata; Chondrichthyes; Chimaeriformes; Callorhinchidae.
GUCAGGAUGGCCGAGCGGUCUAAGGCGCUGCGUUCAGGUCGCAGUCUCCAUUGGAGACGUGGGUUCGAAUCCCACUUCUGACA